UGUCGCCUACGUCAUGUGUCAAUCAUUCCGGUCGGCUUGAAAUCUCGAGCGAUAAAAAAAGAUGUCCCGCGUAAAGCGACGUCUCGUUGCCGGAAGUGCUUUCCUUGCGACGUACGGUGCGAUCGCACGCGGCGAAGGCUUUUCUUAGGGAUAACAAAAGCCUCUGGGCACGAUGAACGCAUGUUGGCGGUUAGGGUUAUGCCGUGACGACACAAGCCGAAAGUGUUCGCAUAUGACUCUCCCGAGUGUUGUGCGUCUGACAGUGAUUCGGUCGAGGCUGUUGCGCGCCGAUUUUACCCAGACCUUGAACGACACGUGAAACUUUGCUGUCGCUUCGAUACGAAUGACAAACUCUCGCAUGUGCAUCUAUCUGGCAGAUUGGACACGGAAUGCUUUCACGUGUGAUGACGCGCGCCUGCGCUGUCAAAGCGCGCACGCAUGCAAUAGGGAGGACAUAUGACUUGAUGCCGAAAGCACACACCAACCUAUACUUCGGGAUACGAAUAUAGUACGAGUUCGACUAUAGGAGGCUUGCGAGCUCGCAGCGUGGUACCAUCGGAGCACGGAUAAUGAGACGGCCCCCGACCAAGAGGAGUUGAUAUGCCGCUAUAGUCUCGUCGAAGACGGGAAUCCUUGCAACGGACGCACACGAAGAUCUUGGAGCUGAUCUUCGUCGAUACGGGAGUAGAGCGCUGCAUUACCGGCAAGCCUCGUAAACGGCCAUAGCAGCAAGCGUGGAGGUUCACGAGAAGGAGGGAUAAACGAGUCGAGCCACGAUUUCGUUGUCGUAAACGUCAAAGUUACGGUUACAGCGUUGUUCCUAGCUGCUUUAUAUUGAACGAGGUUGCUCCCCGAGAUGUGCACCGUAAAAGAGGUUCUCUCUCAAUGGGCUUGAAUGAAGAGAUGCCUAAAUAGCACCCCAGCCUCUCUAUCGUCGCGCCCUCUAAUUACCCUGUAGACGCAGUCAACCCCUCAAUGAGCAGUGAUAAAUAUUGUUCGCGUUUGGGUAUAUCCUGAGGAAGUGAUCCGGCUCUAUAAAGGAAGAUAUAUAUGUCUCAUUGCUAUUGAUCUCUUGUAUAAUCGGAGACGAAGAGGAAAAAAAAAUGCCUGACCCUUAAACCGGACCGAAGAACGCGGGAAGGAGAUUCCCGCCGACAAAAAUGAAGCGACUUGGAGCAAAAAAAAAAGGAAAGAGAUAGUAAAAAGAACUGCUAGCUAGGAAUCUCUAGGAUCUCAGCUGAGCUACGGUAAAGAAAGCAUUCUGACCGAAAGUGCGAUAGAACCCACGAGGCCUUGAUGAUUAUAUAUCUACCAGCGGCAAAGCAGAAGGUUAUUCGGGAUUGUAUCUCUCUCUUUCUCGCAAUGAAAGGGACAAAGACAUCGCUAGAAACAGCUGACUACCGGAAUUCGGGGUUCCGGUGGGGUGAGUACAGUGGGGAAGGCACUUGAACCCCCAAUUGGACUUCCCCAUUAUACCCAGCGUACCCAACGAUUUUACACGCACUUGACUCCAUUCUACCUAUCUACCAGACAUAAUUUUGCCAAGGUACACGGCCGAUUUUCCACGACACAGCUCGCGUGCGUUGACAUUGCAUACGCGAUGAAAAUGAAAAACUCAUAAAACUUAUGUCGCGUACAAAGAAGUAGGAUAAGACGAGCAAUUUAAAAGCAAUUGUAUACAUAUAUAUCUGAAACGUGGCGAUAACGAUAGUAUAAUUGCGAACGGAAAUUUCUCGUGCAAAAAUAAAUCGAAAAUGUAGAAUGAAAUUUUUCUACUGUACGAUUUCGCGUUUCCUAGAAAAUAUCAAAUCGAUAAAAAUGUAUAUUUUCAAUCGCUAUAUUUAACCAUCCCGAUAUCUUCACAAAGAUUGUACAAGUAUAAAAGUCAAGUAGAGAUAUCGAACCGAUUUUCUUGGAAAUGAAACUUUCUGCGAAAAAAUUUCAUUCUACAUCUCCGACUUAUU
Molecule: long non-coding RNA, 1964 nt
Filed under: Camponotus floridanus (Florida carpenter ant)
Lineage: Eukaryota; Metazoa; Arthropoda; Insecta; Hymenoptera; Formicidae
Description: uncharacterized LOC109610083, transcript variant X2
Source: RNAcentral